RNAcentral lists this long non-coding RNA (392 nucleotides) under Ricinus communis (castor bean). Its description in RNAcentral is "long non-coding RNA (RCOM_LNC002044)". The record is from RNAcentral. Lineage: Eukaryota; Viridiplantae; Streptophyta; Magnoliopsida; Malpighiales; Euphorbiaceae.
UCAAACUCAUUUUCCUCCAAAUCAUAUGGAACCAAUAUAGAAUUUUGAAGCCUUUGAUCCAUGGUAAAAACAGCUUCCUCCAGAAAAGGAAAGGGCGAAUCUGGUGAAAUUGCCUUACAAUCCCUCAGAGGUACCUGGGGAAUGGCUAUGAGUUUGGUCCAAGAGGUUGUGUCCCCAUAUUCUUUCAUUGACCAAACAUUCACAGAAGCAGCUUCGACUUCAUGCGAAAGCCAAUUCCAAGGAAGAUGUGCAGGACGAGGUUUGUAACCUCUGGUCGGGGUCACUACUGUCUGAGACAGACAAAGGCAGCCUUGCAAGACACCCAAGUUCAUCACAACCACAUCGCCUGCAGAAUAUCAAACCUGGGAAGACCAUCUCCAUGAACGUCUCUU